Molecule: ribosomal RNA, 379 nt
Filed under: uncultured bacterium
Lineage: Bacteria
Description: bacterial SSU rRNA
Rfam family: Bacterial small subunit ribosomal RNA
Source: RNAcentral
UAAUACGUAGGGGGCGAGCGUUGUCCGGAUUUAUUGGGCGUAAAGAGCUCGUAGGCGGUUCGGUAAGUCGGCUGUGAAAUCUCCACGCUCAACGUGGAGGGGUCAGUCGAAACUGCCGUGACUCGAGUCCGGUAGAGGAGUGUGGAAUUCCCGGUGUAGCGGUGAAAUGCGCAGAGAUCGGGAGGAACACCCGUAGCGAAGGCGGCACUCUGGGCCGGUACUGACGCUGAGGAGCGAAAGCGUGGGGAGCAAACAGGAUUAGAUACCCUGGUAGUCCACGCCGUAAACGUUGGGCACUAGGUGUGGGGCUCUAUCGACGGAUUCCGUGCCGUAGCUAACGCAUUAAGUGCCCCGCCUGGGGAGUACGGUCGCAAGAUUA